UGGGUAACUUCCUGUCGGUGAUGGGAUGGAGGUGCAUCAUGGGUAACUUACUGUUUGUGAUGGAUGGAGGUGCAUCAUGGGUAACUUCCUGUCUGUGAUGGAUGGAGGUGCAUCAUGGGUACCUUUCUGUGUGUCAUGGGAUGGAGGUGCAUCAUGGGUAACUUCCUAUCUGUGAUGGGAUGGAGGUGCAUCAUGGGUAACUUCCUGUCUGUGAUGGAUGGAGGUGCAUCAUGGGUAACUUCCUGUCUGUGAUGGAUGGAGGUGCAUCAUGGGUACCUUUCUGUGUGUCAUGGGAUGGAGGUGCAUCAUGGGUAACUUCCUAUCUGGGAUGGGAUGGAGGUGCAUCAUGGGUAACUUCCUGUCUGUGAUGGGUGGAGGUGCAUCAUGGGUAACUUCCUGUCUGUGAUGGGAUGGAGGUGUAUCAUGGGUAACUUCCUGUCUGUGAUGGAUGGAGGUGCAUCAUGGGUACCUUUCUGUGUGUCAUGGGAUGGAGGUGCCUCAUGGGUAACUUCCUGUCUGUGAUGGAUGGAGGUGCAUCAUGGGUAACUUCCUAUCUGGGAUGGGAUGGAGGUGCAUCAUGGGUAACUUCCUGUCUGUGAUGGAUGGAGGUGCAUCAUGGGUACCUUUCUGUGUGUCAUGAGAUGGAGGUGCCUCAGGGGUAACUUACUGUUUGUGAUGGAUGGAGGUGCAUCAUGGGUAACUUCCU
This is a long non-coding RNA of Epinephelus moara (kelp grouper), 706 nucleotides long. RefSeq lists it as uncharacterized. Lineage: Eukaryota; Metazoa; Chordata; Actinopteri; Perciformes; Serranidae. The transcript has 3 exons. The record is from RefSeq and is a predicted model, not a curated record.